GACGAACGCUGGCGGCGUGCUUAACACAUGCAAGUCGAGCGGAAAGGCCCUUCGGGGUACUCGAGCGGCGAACGGGUGAGUAACACGUGGGCAACCUGCCCCCAACUCUGGGAUAAGCCUAGGAAACUGGGUCUAAUACCGGAUAUGACCUUGGGCUGCAUGGCUCUUGGUGGAAAGUUUUUCGGUUGGGGAUGGGCCCGCGGCCUAUCAGCUUGUUGGUGGGGUAGUGGCCUACCAAGGCGACGACGGGUAGCCGGCCUGAGAGGGCGACCGGCCA
RNAcentral lists this ribosomal RNA (277 nucleotides) under uncultured bacterium. RNAcentral's name for it is "partial 16S ribosomal RNA". It matches the Rfam family "Bacterial small subunit ribosomal RNA", at positions 28 to 310 of the family's 1533-position model. The record is from RNAcentral.